CUUCCAUGACCAACUUGAGCUCUUCGCUUCGCUACACUCUCCGCCGUUGAUUUAUCUUUCGCCCUCGUCUGAUACCCUCGUCUGAUUAUAUCAGGUUUGACAACCCCCUCUCUCUAAAUAUGCACAAAUAAGAGUGUAUGUGUAUGUGUAUGUGUAUGUGUAUGUGUAUGUGAAUGAAUCAGAUGAUUGUCUGAGAUUUGAACGCCCUCCAACUGUUUGAUGAAAUGUCUGACCCAAAAACUUGGGUAUUUUGCUUUGUU
RNAcentral lists this long non-coding RNA (260 nucleotides) under Actinidia chinensis (golden kiwifruit). RNAcentral's name for it is "long non-coding RNA (ACHI_LNC004896)". Lineage: Eukaryota; Viridiplantae; Streptophyta; Magnoliopsida; Ericales; Actinidiaceae. The record is from RNAcentral.